GCCAGCAUUGUGUAGUGGUUUGAGUGUUGGACUGUGACUCUGGAGACCAGGGUUCAAGUCCCUGCUCAGCCA
Molecule: transfer RNA, 72 nt
Filed under: Phrynosoma platyrhinos (Desert horned lizard)
Lineage: Eukaryota; Metazoa; Chordata; Lepidosauria; Squamata; Phrynosomatidae
Description: tRNA-OTHER
Source: RNAcentral